RNAcentral lists this ribosomal RNA (2758 nucleotides) under Staphylococcus aureus M1153. Its description in RNAcentral is "bacterial LSU rRNA". It matches the Rfam family "Bacterial large subunit ribosomal RNA". Lineage: Bacteria; Bacillati; Bacillota; Bacilli; Caryophanales; Staphylococcaceae. The record is from RNAcentral.
AUAGCAUAUCAGAAGGCACACCCGGAGAACUGAAACAUCUUAGUACCCGGAGGAAGAGAAAGAAAAUUCGAUUCCCUUAGUAGCGGCGAGCGAAACGGGAAGAGCCCGAACCAACAAGCUUGCUUGUUGGGGUUGUAGGACACUCUAUACGGAGUUACAAAGGACGACAUUAGACGAAUCAUCUGGAAAGAUGAAUCAAAGAAGGUAAUAAUCCUGUAGUCGAAAAUGUUGUCUCUCUUGAGUGGAUCCUGAGUACGACGGAGCACGUGAAAUUCCGUCGGAAUCUGGGAGGACCAUCUCCUAAGGCUAAAUACUCUCUAGUGACCGAUAGUGAACCAGUACCGUGAGGGAAAGGUGAAAAGCACCCCGGAAGGGGAGUGAAAUAGAACCUGAAACCGUGUGCUUACAAGUAGUCAGAGCCCGUUAAUGGGUGAUGGCGUGCCUUUUGUAGAAUGAACCGGCGAGUUACGAUUUGAUGCAAGGUUAAGCAGUAAAUGUGGAGCCGUAGCGAAAGCGAGUCUGAAUAGGGCGUUUAGUAUUUGGUCGUAGACCCGAAACCAGGUGAUCUACCCUUGGUCAGGUUGAAGUUCAGGUAACACUGAAUGGAGGACCGAACCGACUUACGUUGAAAAGUGAGCGGAUGAACUGAGGGUAGCGGAGAAAUUCCAAUCGAACCUGGAGAUAGCUGGUUCUCUCCGAAAUAGCUUUAGGGCUAGCCUCAAGUGAUGAUUAUUGGAGGUAGAGCACUGUUUGGACGAGGGGCCCCUCUCGGGUUACCGAAUUCAGACAAACUCCGAAUGCCAAUUAAUUUAACUUGGGAGUCAGAACAUGGGUGAUAAGGUCCGUGUUCGAAAGGGAAACAGCCCAGACCACCAGCUAAGGUCCCAAAAUAUAUGUUAAGUGGAAAAGGAUGUGGCGUUGCCCAGACAACUAGGAUGUUGGCUUAGAAGCAGCCAUCAUUUAAAGAGUGCGUAAUAGCUCACUAGUCGAGUGACACUGCGCCGAAAAUGUACCGGGGCUAAACAUAUUACCGAAGCUGUGGAUUGUCCUUUGGACAAUGGUAGGAGAGCGUUCUAAGGGCGUUGAAGCAUGAUCGUAAGGACAUGUGGAGCGCUUAGAAGUGAGAAUGCCGGUGUGAGUAGCGAAAGACGGGUGAGAAUCCCGUCCACCGAUUGACUAAGGUUUCCAGAGGAAGGCUCGUCCGCUCUGGGUUAGUCGGGUCCUAAGCUGAGGCCGACAGGCGUAGGCGAUGGAUAACAGGUUGAUAUUCCUGUACCACCUAUAAUCGUUUUAAUCGAUGGGGGGACGCAGUAGGAUAGGCGAAGCGUGCGAUUGGAUUGCACGUCUAAGCAGUAAGGCUGAGUAUUAGGCAAAUCCGGUACUCGUUAAGGCUGAGCUGUGAUGGGGAGAAGACAUUGUGUCUUCGAGUCGUUGAUUUCACACUGCCGAGAAAAGCCUCUAGAUAGAAAAUAGGUGCCCGUACCGCAAACCGACACAGGUAGUCAAGAUGAGAAUUCUAAGGUGAGCGAGCGAACUCUCGUUAAGGAACUCGGCAAAAUGACCCCGUAACUUCGGGAGAAGGGGUGCUCUUUAGGGUUAACGCCCAGAAGAGCCGCAGUGAAUAGGCCCAAGCGACUGUUUAUCAAAAACACAGGUCUCUGCUAAACCGUAAGGUGAUGUAUAGGGGCUGACGCCUGCCCGGUGCUGGAAGGUUAAGAGGAGUGGUUAGCUUCUGCGAAGCUACGAAUCGAAGCCCCAGUAAACGGCGGCCGUAACUAUAACGGUCCUAAGGUAGCGAAAUUCCUUGUCGGGUAAGUUCCGACCCGCACGAAAGGCGUAACGAUUUGGGCACUGUCUCAACGAGAGACUCGGUGAAAUCAUAGUACCUGUGAAGAUGCAGGUUACCCGCGACAGGACGGAAAGACCCCGUGGAGCUUUACUGUAGCCUGAUAUUGAAAUUCGGCACAGCUUGUACAGGAUAGGUAGGAGCCUUUGAAACGUGAGCGCUAGCUUACGUGGAGGCGCUGGUGGGAUACUACCCUAGCUGUGUUGGCUUUCUAACCCGCACCACUUAUCGUGGUGGGAGACAGUGUCAGGCGGGCAGUUUGACUGGGGCGGUCGCCUCCUAAAAGGUAACGGAGGCGCUCAAAGGUUCCCUCAGAAUGGUUGGAAAUCAUUCAUAGAGUGUAAAGGCAUAAGGGAGCUUGACUGCGAGACCUACAAGUCGAGCAGGGUCGAAAGACGGACUUAGUGAUCCGGUGGUUCCGCAUGGAAGGGCCAUCGCUCAACGGAUAAAAGCUACCCCGGGGAUAACAGGCUUAUCUCCCCCAAGAGUUCACAUCGACGGGGAGGUUUGGCACCUCGAUGUCGGCUCAUCGCAUCCUGGGGCUGUAGUCGGUCCCAAGGGUUGGGCUGUUCGCCCAUUAAAGCGGUACGCGAGCUGGGUUCAGAACGUCGUGAGACAGUUCGGUCCCUAUCCGUCGUGGGCGUAGGAAAUUUGAGAGGAGCUGUCCUUAGUACGAGAGGACCGGGAUGGACAUACCUCUGGUGUACCAGUUGUCGUGCCAACGGCAUAGCUGGGUAGCUAUGUGUGGACGGGAUAAGUGCUGAAAGCAUCUAAGCAUGAAGCCCCCCUCAAGAUGAGAUUUCCCAACUUCGGUUAUAAGAUCCCUCAAAGAUGAUGAGGUUAAUAGGUUCGAGGUGGAAGCAUGGUGACAUGUGGAGCUGACGAAUACUAAUCGAUCGAAGACUUAAUCAA